CGGCAGCACGGGAGCAAUCCUGGUGGCGAGUGGCGAACGGGUGAGUAAUACAUCGGAACGUGUCCUGUAGUGGGGGAUAGCCCGGCGAAAGCCGGAUUAAUACCGCAUACGCUCUACGGAGGAAAGGGGGGGAUCUUAGGACCUCUCGCUACAGGGGCGGCCGAUGGCAGAUUAGUUAGUUGGUGGGGUAAAGGCCUACCAAGGCGACGAUCUGUAGCUGGUCUGAGAGGACGACCAGCCACACUGGGACUGAGACACGGCCCAGACUCCUACGGGAGGCAGCAGUGGGGAAUUUUGGACAAUGGGCGAAAGCCUGAUCCAGCAAUGCCGCGUGUGUGAAGAAGGCCUUCGGGUUGUAAAGCACUUUUGUCCGGAAAGAAAACCUCUGGGUUAAUACCCCGGGGGGAUGACGGUACCGGAAGAAUAAGCACCGGCUAACUACGUGCCAGCAGCCGCGGUAAUACGUAGGGUGCAAGCGUUAAUCGGAAUUACUGGGCGUAAAGCGUGCGCAGGCGGUUCGCUAAGACAGAUGUGAAAUCCCCGGGCUUAACCUGGGAACUGCAUUUGUGACUGGCGGGCUAGAGUAUGGCAGAGGGGGGUAGAAUUCCACGUGUAGCAGUGAAAUGCGUAGAGAUGUGGAGGAAUACCGAUGGCGAAGGCAGCCCCCUGGGCCAAUACUGACGCUCAUGCACGAAAGCGCGGGGAGCAAACAGGAUUAGAUACCCUGGUAGUCCACGCCCUA
This 742-nucleotide ribosomal RNA is filed under the name uncultured Burkholderia sp. RNAcentral's name for it is "bacterial SSU rRNA". It matches the Rfam family "Bacterial small subunit ribosomal RNA", at positions 67 to 804 of the family's 1533-position model. The record is from RNAcentral. Lineage: Bacteria; Pseudomonadati; Pseudomonadota; Betaproteobacteria; Burkholderiales; Burkholderiaceae.